CAGUCUGGGAGCAUGGCUGGCAGGGAGAGGGGCUUGAAGGUCUUUGAUGAGUUCCCACUGGCCCCUGGGUGGGUGAGCAGGGAGCCCCAAGCCCAACCCCUGUGGUGCCACUUACCAACCCUUUGCCUCGGUUUCCCAGCUGCACCUCGGGGGUGGUAAGAAUGUCCACCUCAGAGAGCCCUGGUGAGUACGGAAGAGAUCGUCCACCGAGGUAUUCAGCACAGUGGUCAGUGCACAUACUGUGAGCUGGGUUCUUAAUGCUGUAGAAGAACACUCAAGCCACCCUCCGGCAAAAGGAAAGACCAUCAGGGCAGCUUGGGAGAAUCUAGAGAGUUUCACGGGGUGAAGGUCUCUGGGUAUUGAUGGAUGAAUAGGAGUUCACAGGUGGGCUGCAAUUACUAACCCAGGUGUGUGGUGUGGUUGGGCUUGCAGGUGAAAGUGAGCAGAGAUGGCCUUCCAUGUGCGGAGCACGGCACGUCCAAAGCUGUGGAGUUGGGGAUGGCCAAGAUCUAUUCUAGAGAUCCGCUUUACACAGGAUACUGAGACUUCGGGAUCCACCAACCCCCCGCGGACACAAAGAAGCCAAACCUCUCUGGGCUGCGGAGGUCUGAGGCUUUCACAGCCAGCUCAUCCUGCAGAGGAGGGCGAAGCCCAGAGGGGCUGAAGCCCUGAGUGCGGCUGCCCAGUGAAAUAAAGCCGUUGCUGGAGCCCCGCGGUGCCACGCCUGCUGCGGCAAGGGGACCUCCGGGGGAAGGCCGGCUGAACCGUGCCCCGGGGCCCUUGUCUGCGCCCCAGGGUGGUCUGGAAGCCAGAUGGAGGCAGGGUUAGAGGGGUUCUGCGCGGGGGCGCGUGUACGUGUGUGCGUGCGUGUGUGCGUGCGGAGAAGAGCAGGGAGGCGGUCCUGGCCGCUCAGAAGCAGGCUGCACAUGGGUGUUCCCGUCAGGGCAAUGAGGAAGGACAGCAGCCCAAGGCGGGGCUGAGCAGCUCACAGGACGGGGCAUAGGUCACUGAGAACCCAGAAUAACUUAAAGUCUCCUAGGGGGGUUGAACUCUACUCCAUAAAGUACCCUGGGUUAUUUUAA
Molecule: long non-coding RNA, 1082 nt
Organism: Chinchilla lanigera (long-tailed chinchilla)
Lineage: Eukaryota; Metazoa; Chordata; Mammalia; Rodentia; Chinchillidae
Exons: 2
Source: RefSeq, a predicted model, not a curated record